GGAAGGGAGGGAGCAGGGAAUGGGUCUGAUCAAAACACCUUCCAUUGAGAUCUCCUCCUGUGGAGAGGAGGCCUUGCCUUCUUUCCUCAGACCAUGCCUUUGUCUCACAGUCCAACCUAUCUCUCCCUGGAAGCCCACUGACCAUGCUCACCAGGGAAUGAGAAGGCAAUCCCCACUCUCCUUCCUGCCCUCCAUUCCCAGCACUGUAACAGAUCACUUGCUAACUCUUCCCGCUCUUUCUCCAGAGAUCCUCAGCUUUCCUCCCGCCUGCCCAUUCUCUUAGCCCCCAGCUCUCCUAGCCCAUCCUCAUUCCUAUAUGUCAACUCAAAACACCUAGGAACAAGUCUACCAGGACAUCCAGUAGCCACACCUGCCAUGGACACAGAGCAUGCCUUACCAGGCAAUGCACAGCCACUGUACACUCCUAAGAGCCAGAGCGGGCAACAGAAGCCAAGGACCAGAAAACUCACCCAAC
RNAcentral lists this long non-coding RNA (475 nucleotides) under Rattus norvegicus (Norway rat). RNAcentral's name for it is "long non-coding RNA NONRATT013527". Lineage: Eukaryota; Metazoa; Chordata; Mammalia; Rodentia; Muridae. The record is from RNAcentral.